Molecule: ribosomal RNA, 497 nt
Filed under: uncultured bacterium
Lineage: Bacteria
Description: partial 16S ribosomal RNA
Rfam family: Bacterial small subunit ribosomal RNA
Source: RNAcentral
GAUGAACGCUGGCGGCGUGCCUAAUACAUGCAAGUCGAGCGAACGGACGAGAAGCUUGCUUCUCUGAUGUUAGCGGCGGACGGGUGAGUAACACGUGGAUAACCUACCUAUAAGACUGGGAAAACUUCGGGAAACCGGAGCUAAUACCAGAUAAUAUUUUGAACCGCAUGGUUCAAAAGUGAAAGACGGUCUUGCUGUCACUUAUAGAUGGAUCCGCGCUGCAUUAGCUAGUUGGUAAGUUAACGGCUUACCAAGGCAACGAUGCAUAGCCGACCUGAGAGGGUGAUCGGCCACACGGGAACUGAGACACGGUCCAGACUCCUACGGUACGCAGCAGUAUGGAAUCUUCCGCAAUGGGCGAAAGCCUGACGGAGCAACGCCGCGUGAGUUAUGAAGGUCUUCGGAUCGUAAAACUCUGUUAUUAGGGAAGAACAUAUGUGUAAGUAACUGUGCACAUCUUGACGGUACCUAAUCAGAAAGCCACGGCUAACUACGUG